GGGACCCAACCGAAACGCAGCGAAGCUCUGCUCCGAGCUCGGCAGGACCCCCUUCCAUGCCUCUCUGCUGCGGGCAGUUUUUUGGGACGCCCGUGCAGCUGCCAGGACCUGUUCACCUAAGGCGUCCUUCCCGUCCGUCACGUGAUGGUGUGGGACUGUGUGGAAUGUCAGGGAGUGGCGGGGUUGGUGUGGCUGGGAAAGAGCUCUUUUCUCUGAAGGAUAUCCACGUGUUGGUAACCUAUUUCAACACAGAUCCAGACGUUUGAGCAAGCUAAUGUAGAAAACUCUUUGGUCUUCAUUUACACUUCUUAGUGAAUAUUUCACUAGGAGAAAGAACGUUCACGUUCCACCACUUACACCCCUGUAAAAGUAUGAAAAUAAGAAGAACCCCUGGCUUUCCUGCCUUGCUCCGAUUCCAGAGCCGUGAACUGAAAAGAUCUUGUCAGUGAUUCUGGAACAGAUUUUGCCACCUGGUUAGCAGGGGAAGAAAGAAGAGAAACUUCCAGCUUCAGGAGACAGGGAAAUGAAGACAUGAGGCUUGUUGUCAUUGUCCAGCUUUCCAUUAUGAAUUUAUGACCAUUGUCUAUAUUUUCCUUUAUAAUCUGACUGCCUGAAGAACCAGUUAGUAAAUUGUGUGUUCCUGAUAUGUUACUAUUCCAUUUGCCAACAGAAGUAAAAAGAGUGCCAAAGAAUCCACAAUUGUGUAGAUACAAAUUAUUCUGCAGGGAUCUGCCUUUUUCUAAGGGUGUGAAAUCUCCAGGAAGAGGAGAUCCAAUUAUUACAGACUUACCGAAAGCAUUCUAGAAAUAGAAUAUGC
Molecule: non-coding RNA, 817 nt
Organism: Lonchura striata (white-rumped munia)
Lineage: Eukaryota; Metazoa; Chordata; Aves; Passeriformes; Estrildidae
Source: RefSeq, a predicted model, not a curated record